GGUUGAUCCUGCCAGUAGUCAUAUGCUUGUUUCAAAGAUUAAGCCAUGCAUGUCUAAGUAUAAACACCUUUAUACUGUGAGACUGCGUACAGCUCAUUAAAUCAGUAAUUAUUUAUUUGAUGGUACCUUUCUACAUGGAUACCCGUAGUAAUUCUAGAGCUAAUACAUGCACAGAGGAGCGACUCGCAAGGGAAGCUCUGCAUUUAUUAGAUUCAAAAACCAAUGCAGGUUCUGCCUGGUUUCUGGUGAUUCAUGAUAACUGAGCGGACCACACGGCCUCGCGCCGGUGGCAG
RNAcentral lists this ribosomal RNA (293 nucleotides) under uncultured eukaryote. RNAcentral describes it as "partial 18S ribosomal RNA". It matches the Rfam family "Eukaryotic small subunit ribosomal RNA", at positions 6 to 293 of the family's 1831-position model. The record is from RNAcentral.